This is a long non-coding RNA of Peromyscus californicus insignis, 644 nucleotides long. RefSeq lists it as uncharacterized. The record is from RefSeq and is a predicted model, not a curated record. NCBI's taxonomy places the organism in Eukaryota, Metazoa, Chordata, Mammalia, Rodentia, Cricetidae. The transcript is spliced from 5 exons.
CCCUGCUCCGUCCUUUCUUCCUGCGUCCGCGUGCGUCUAUUGUAUCCUCGUUGUCAUGUACCGCGUCCCCAUUACCUCCACAGAUCGCCGCCCUCUGAAUGCACUCUCUGGGUGCUUCCCUAAAGGCUUCGGGAUGCAGAACCUGCCGCAAAUAAGCCAGGCUUCUCCAUAUCGACGGUGGAAGCCUACAAGGGAGCCACGAUGGCCGCUUGCGCAGUGAGAGUCCGCGGCCUGCGUACUGCGCCAUUUGACGGCUUUUCCAGGUGAAGACUCCAUGAAGAUGGGCUAAGGAGACCAGAAGAUGUGACAGGUGAAACGCAGCAGUAGGGCCUGGUUACACCCAAGGCUCUUGGAAGUCUGAAAAGCCAGCCUGUCUGCCUCAGCUCAUUCACUGAGAGUCAUGUAACCAGUGAAGGGGCCAUCAUUUAUGAUUUGAUCUACAGUUGGUUGGAAAAAAUCAAAAGCAAGAGGACAGCUCUGGAAGCAAGGUUCUGCAAGCUGUGAUGACAUACAGAUCAAGGCUAGUCUGGUCUACAGAGCUAAUUCUAAAACAGACAUCAAAGGCUACACAGAGAAACCCUGUCUUAAAGUGAAAUGCUUUGUGAUUUAACGUGUAAUUGGGUCAAUAAAGACUUUGGAAAGUG